AUGAGUUUGCUUGGCAGGAUACAUGGAGGUGACCCUAGGAUACUGCCGUACGUGAAGAGGGAUGUUGCGAAUGAACGUGCAAAGCUUCGGGAAGCGAUAACACAACAGGACAUGGAUAUGACAGUGAAGUACUUUGAGAGGAGGAAGGCUGAGAAUCCAGAGUUUUUCUUUGCGAAGAAAAAAGAUCCAGCCACGAACUCUGUCACUGCAUUGUUUUGGGUUGAUGGGAGGACAAGGUCGCUGUACCCAAAAUAUAAAGAUUGCGUGUUCUUUGACACAACCUUCUGCACUAACAGAUACAACAUGCCCUUUGGUCCUAUAGUUGGUAUCAACAAUCACCUCCAAACCAUUUCACUCGGGUGUGCUUUGUUGCCGGAUGAGACUAUUGAAACGUUCAAGUGGGUCUUUGAGCAAUGGAUGGUUGCAAUGGACAAUGAGCAUCCAAAGAACAUAAUGACUGACCAAGACCAAGCAAUGGCAACAGCUAUAGAGCAUGUGCUCCCAUAUACUUGCCAUAGGUGUUGCAAGUUUCAUGUGUUUAGCAACGCGCGUUCUAAGUUGGGGAGGCUGCUGAGCAGAAAUGAGGCGUUUGCAGAUGUGUUUUACACUUGUAUCAACAACUCUGAAACGGUUGAAGAAUUUGAGGAAACAUGGCAGCACAUGUUGGAGUGUUUCGAAGUUGCUGAAAACAAACACUUGAAGAACAUGUGGCGAACAAGGCAUAUGUGGGCUCCAGCGUAUUUCAAGAACAAUUUCUUCCCGUUCACAAGCACGACAGGCGGGUCCGAGGGGCUGAACUCAUAUUUCAAGACAAUGAUUCGUCCAGCUGAUUCUGUAUGGAGGUUUGUGCAACAGUAUGAACUGUGCCAGGAAACUGUGCUUGAUCGCGAGGACAAUGCUGGGUUCACUGGUGAAACGACUGCUCCUCCAAUAUACUCUCGAUACAACAUUGAGCGCCAAGCUGCUGAUUACUACACACGCAACAUCUUUGGCAAGUUCCAGAAACAAGUGACUGCGUCUACGGGCUACAUUAUCAACCAAGACGCUGAGUACCAAGGGCGAGGCCUCAUGUUCAAUCUAACAUCAAGCUUAUAUGAGAACCCAAAGCUCUUCUCUGUGCGUGUUAUGAUGGAUGAAGGGGUGUUCCAAUGUAGUUGCCACUACUUUGAGAUGAAUGGCCUGGUUUGCGCCCACAUAAUAAGGGUGAUGGUGCACCUCAAUGUGCAAGUUAUUCCACAACAAUACUUGUUGGAAAGGUGGUCUGAAGCAGCAACAACAAGCAUGGCCAGAACUGGGCGAUUGCUGGAAUUUGGGCACCCCUCGACAAACACGCUCAAAUACAACUCCUUGUGCCGAAGGUUGGCAUGGCUCGCCUCUGAUGCAUGUUGCAAUGAUGAUGCAUACAAGAUAUUAUAUGAAGCAAUAAAAGUUCUUGAGCCUGCCAUUGCUGCGGCGAAAAGAGGGGUACUGCCAGAACAACAAGCAACGCAGCACAGUGAACCCCCAACGCAACCUACUCCUACAAUGGGAGCGUUGAAUGAUGGCCUACCACAGCCUCAAAGCACAGAGAUGCUACGAAACCCAGCUCGUUUCCCAAAGAAAGGUCGGCCAACUGAAAGAGAGAAGAGGAAGAAGACUCUGGUGGAGCAGCUAGAUGAUAAGCAGAAGAAGAAGUCAAAACAAGAAGAGAAGAAGCCAAUGGCAGAAGUGAAGCCAAAAUCUGAAAAAAGAAGUAUUCGCUGCAAGUUCUGCAAAGAAGAAGGUCACAACGUGCAGACAUGUGGACCACUAAAAGCUGCAACAGAGGCGGCGACAACACCGCCUACAUGUCAAUUCUGCUCCGAGGUGGGGCAUACUGUAACAACUUGUGCAUACUGGAGAGCCAUGAUGACAAAUGAUCCAAGAAAUGCCCAAGCAACGCGACUCAACCUCUAG
RNAcentral lists this ribosomal RNA (1935 nucleotides) under Triticum aestivum (bread wheat). RNAcentral describes it as "partial small subunit ribosomal RNA". The record is from RNAcentral. Lineage: Eukaryota; Viridiplantae; Streptophyta; Magnoliopsida; Poales; Poaceae.